This 1322-nucleotide long non-coding RNA is filed under the name Spirodela polyrhiza (greater duckweed). Its description in RNAcentral is "long non-coding RNA (SPOL_LNC001863)". Lineage: Eukaryota; Viridiplantae; Streptophyta; Magnoliopsida; Alismatales; Araceae. The record is from RNAcentral.
AUUACUUUAAAAUGAUUUGGAUAUAAAUUUAAUCAACUAUAGUUAGAUUAUUUACUAAUGCAUUUUUUAAAUUAUAGAAAUAUAUUAUGAAAUAUAUUCUUAGCAUUUUGAAUCAUUGAAACAAUAGUUAUAAAUAUUGCGGUUACAAUCCAAUGUGCUCACUUGAAUAUCACAUUUUGUUUGAGGUAAUUUAUAUAUGUUUUGAUUAUUAAAUCAUCAUCUUAAUGAAACAUGUUGUGAGUUAACAGGUUUUUCCGAUCCUUAAUUUUCUGCAAAAAGAAAAUUGUAGUAAUUUCACAUAAGGAUAUCCAAACUGAUUAAGGAAUAGAUCAUAUCAGAUUCCUAGUUCUAAGCAAAAAAUAGAUGUUAGAAGAUCGCAAAUGUUUGAGAAGAUAUUCAUGCGUGAUUUACCAACAAAUAUUAAAGAUUUCCAAUGAAUGCAACAUAAACAUCUUCAUCUCUUCCUCAUUAAUUUUGACGAGUUUUAAUUUUCUAACAUGACCUCUAUCUAAAAUAAAGGAAGAAAAGGAAUAUGAGAUGAGAUGAAUGAUAAAAUGUAAUUUUUAUGUUUAUCAACCUUCUUUAUAGAUGGAUUUCAUGUUUACACAUUUCUCAAUAUUUUGAGACUAAAUGAAAGAAUAUUUUGGGAUAGAAAUAGUUUUAUCAUGAAUAAGAUGAAAAUUGAUAAGAAAAUAUGAUUCAAAGAGAUAAGAAUAACAAUUUUCAAUGAUUUUUGAUUUUUUUAAUUUUUUAAAGAAAUAAUUAAAAAAAAUAAUUAUAUGAGAUGUAAAACUACUUUGGUUGUAAUGAGGGUUGUCCUAAAAGAAAUAAAUUAAUUCUAAAUUAAAAAGAAAUUAACAUCAUGAUAAUCAUACUUAGUUGUGUUUCAAGCAACAAAACCCUUGGAAAUUUGUAAUGUAAUAUCUUGAAUUUUGAUUAAACCAUAAAACUAUAUCCAAGUCUUUCCCUUCCUUGUUUGUCACCCAAGGUUGAGAACAGAGAACUUAUAAAAUUUUAAAUCAAGUUUUAACUAAUUUCUUAUUCAAAAACACAAGAACAUGAAGAAAAAUGCUUUUAAUUGAAUAAAAUUUAGAGAAAUAUAUUUUUCUGUUCAAAGUCUAUCACCCAAUGGGAAGAAAAAAAUGCCAAAUCAAAGCAAAGAUCAUUCAAAACAUAAAGGGAAUGUCAACAACAAGACGAGAAUUUUUCUUCCUUUUUUUCCUGCUCUUCCUUCUUCGAAUCGUCAUCCUUCUUUCUCUAGCCAAGCCCUCAUUUCUAUAUCCUAUUUUCAUCUUUAUCCUCUACACCUGAAAAUCAAGCCU